AACGAACGCUGGCGGCAUGCCUAACACAUGCAAGUCGAACGAUUGCCUUCGGGUGAUAGUGGCGCACGGGUGCGUAACGCGUGGGAAUCUGCCCUUAGGUUCGGAAUAACAGCUGGAAACGGCUGCUAAUACCGGAUGAUAUCGCGAGAUCAAAGAUUUAUCGCCUGAGGUUGAGCCCGCGUUGGAUUAGGUAGUUGGUGGGGUAAAGGCCUACCAAGCCGACGAUCCAUAGCUGGUCUGAGAGGAUGAUCAGCCACACUGGGACUGAGACACGGCCCAGACUCCUACGGGAGGCAGCAGUGGGGAAUAUUGGACAAUGGGCGCAAGCCUGAUCCAGCAAUGCCGCGUGAGUGAUGAAGGCCCUAGGGUUGUAAAGCUCUUUUACCCGGGAAGAUAAUGACUGUACCGGGAGAAUAAGCCCCGGCUAACUCCGU
This 434-nucleotide ribosomal RNA is filed under the name uncultured bacterium. Its description in RNAcentral is "partial 16S ribosomal RNA". It matches the Rfam family "Bacterial small subunit ribosomal RNA", at positions 29 to 506 of the family's 1533-position model. The record is from RNAcentral.